UGGCUCAGUGGUAGAGUGUUUGCCUAGCAUGCAUGAGGCCCUGGGUUCGAUUCCUUG
Molecule: transfer RNA, 57 nt
Filed under: Dipodomys ordii (Ord's kangaroo rat)
Lineage: Eukaryota; Metazoa; Chordata; Mammalia; Rodentia; Heteromyidae
Rfam family: tRNA
About the family: Transfer RNA (tRNA) molecules are approximately 80 nucleotides in length. Their secondary structure includes four short double-helical elements and three loops (D, anti-codon, and T loops). Further hydrogen bonds mediate the characteristic L-shaped molecular structure. tRNAs have two regions of fundamental functional importance: the anti-codon, which is responsible for specific mRNA codon recognition, and the 3' end, to which the tRNAs corresponding amino acid is attached (by aminoacyl-tRNA synthetases). tRNAs cope with the degeneracy of the genetic code in two manners: having more than one tRNA (with a specific anti-codon) for a particular amino acid; and 'wobble' base-pairing, i.e. permitting non-standard base-pairing at the 3rd anti-codon position.
Source: Rfam by way of RNAcentral